GCUGUGACUCAGUGGGAGAGCAUCUGCUUUGCAUGCAUAAGGUCCCAGGUUCAAUCCCCAAUCGCAUCUCUA
Non-coding RNA from Podarcis lilfordi (Lilford's wall lizard), 72 nucleotides. Lineage: Eukaryota; Metazoa; Chordata; Lepidosauria; Squamata; Lacertidae. The record is from the annotation of a GenBank genome assembly.